GGCGUGACCAGCAUAUUGGCAGUUUCCCCGGGCUAAUCCCGGCGAUCUGUGGUUUGUUCUUCCAGUUAACUUUGUUCCAAAGGCUCCCGGGGAGGGGGUUUGGGGGAACGGGAAAAGCAGAAGGGAGCCAGAGAAGGGGAGAGGGGAAAAAACAAAGGUCUGGAUUUGGGACCUAGAUAAGGAGAGAAAGUAAAUAACCACCGCGCCCGGCAGGAGCUCAGUGGGUCUGGGCGGCCAGGCGUUAGCUGCUUGGUUCUCGUUGGCUGUUUCGGGGAGCUUGAAGGCCACCGCACCAAGGACACACACCACACACACACACACACAACACACACACACACACACCACACAACACACACACACACACACACAGAGGCACAGGCGCGCUCUCAAUGGAUACAAAAGUCUGGACGUUCUAGGGGCGAGGAGGGAGGGAGGGAGGAAGGGAGGAAAGGAGGAAGAGAGGGAAGGAGGAAGGGGGGCGGGCGGCGGAGAGCCCGGGGCGGGGGAGAGCCGGAGCCCGAGCACAGCCGGAGCCCGAGACCGAGCCGGAGCCGGAGCCGGAGCUGGAGCCAGAGCGACUGCGCCCGUGCCGGCUCCCCUAGCCAUGCGUGCCGCGGGCCCGUGAAGGGAGCCGCUGUGCGCCGCUGGCUGCCAAGUCCUUGCCCCGCUUUUGUCUCGCCCUACAGUGAAUCGGAAGAUGGAGAUGGAUGUUAAGGGAGUUUCUCAGUGCCCGGAGCCCAUCCCCCACUCUCAGGGGGCUGGCGGAGGCUGUCAGCAGCCACCACCACCACCGCCACCGCCGCCGCCACCGCCGCCGCCGCAGGAUGAGCAGCCUGGGGAAAGUGCGGCCGCCGGGGACAGCCACCCAGAGAAGAGACCAAACAGUGAGAAAGAAGACAAAAAGUGAAAUAGUGGAUCCUCAAUCCGCAGAAGCUGACGUCAGGCUCAGAGCAAAUUAUAAGAGUCACCCACUGAAAGCCAGUCCCCUAAAUCUUCCAAAGAAGCAGAUGGAGCCCAGUUGAGUGAAGGUAAGAAAUGACCUUUUCUUCUUUCCUUCCCCCCUCAUCCAUUAUUCCUUAGAAUAUUGAGACUAGUACCUGACUGGCUCUCCAUUUUAUCUCUCCUGCACAGAUACCAUCAAAUGGCCAAGAACUUUAAUGAAGACCAGCUGCUUUUGCGUGUUUCACCCUGGCUUUGAUUUAGAGGAGCCCUGGAGGAUGGAGUCACCACGGAAAAAGGAACAGCAGAUCUCAGUUUCAACGACCCCGAGACCCAGUCAAGAGGAUAGUGAGGCCUAGGACCAUACCACUUUAUUUUGGACUCAGACAAGUUGGAGAGCCCUCACCGAACCCUCUUCUUGACAUUUAAAAUCUUGUAUUACAAUGUACAAGUUAAAAAAAAACAUGCCUGAGCAUUAUCUGUGUUAAUUUGGAAGAAGCAUCUUCCGGUUCUGAACUGUUUACUUGUUUAUUCUGCCUUGUCUAUUUCCCCCCCUUUCUUCACCCAAGAAAUCCUGAAUAGGAAAUUAGAGUGAAAAUGUGAUUUUGUCCUGGAAACAGCUUUACAAAGGCAACAGUUUUAUCCCCCCUCCAAAUUUUCAAAGUUAUGGUCCUUGAAUGUCUUUUGUCAGGGUCCCAAGACAUCUGACUGCAAGAUUCUUAUUAUCUCCUGGCAUAGGGACAUUUGAAUGAAUAAAGAAGAUCUCAGAAAGUGUUUUCA
Long non-coding RNA from Phascolarctos cinereus (koala), 1719 nucleotides. Lineage: Eukaryota; Metazoa; Chordata; Mammalia; Diprotodontia; Phascolarctidae. The record is from Ensembl.